Molecule: RNase P RNA, 392 nt
Filed under: Metabacillus mangrovi
Lineage: Bacteria; Bacillati; Bacillota; Bacilli; Caryophanales; Bacillaceae
Description: RNase P RNA component class B
Rfam family: Bacterial RNase P class B
About the family: Ribonuclease P (RNase P) is a ubiquitous endoribonuclease, found in archaea, bacteria and eukarya as well as chloroplasts and mitochondria.
Source: RNAcentral
ACGUUCAGGUAAUCGCUGCAGGCUUUAGGUCUGCAGAGGAAAGUCCAUGCUCGCACGGUGCUGAGAUGCCCGUAGUGUUCGUGCCUGGCGAAUUCAUAAGCCAGGGUGGUCCGGAUUUCCGGGCUAACGGCGGGGAACGCGCCUAAGUCCUUAUGGAUAUGGCGCCACUACUCUGAAAGUGCCACAGUGACGGAGUCCUGCAAGAAAUUGCAGGAGUGGAACGAGGUAAACCCCUCGAGCGAGAAACCCAAAUUAUGGUAGGGGCAUUUUCCCGGAGGAACUGAACGAAGGGAAAGACAGAGCCGUUCCCGGUUCUGUAGAUAGAUGAUUGCCGCCUGAGUACGAGGUGACAGCCGCUUGCAGUACAAAGGAACAAAACAUGGCUUAUCGAA